GAUCGUUAAACAAGUAUAUAAUCGAUUGUUCUGUUGUUUUUGAAAAUUCCAGUUUUGGCGGUCUUAAUAUAAUCGAUUAUGUUAUAUAUGUCCAGAUUUAAAAGACAUGGUUAAAAAUCAUUUUGGCUAAAAUGCAAAUCAUUUUGUUUUAAUUUAAAGAUUCAUGUUUUGAUGAAAAUGAUUUUACGAGAGAAGCCAAUAGUUGAAUCUGUUGUUGAAUCAAGAUCACACUAUAAAACGACCCAAGUAUAACUUCGAUGCUUCACUUGAUCUUGUUCUUGUUUCUCUUGUGCUUGACUGUUAACGUUCCAUGCUCGUUGGUUUGUC
RNAcentral lists this long non-coding RNA (327 nucleotides) under Nicotiana benthamiana. Its description in RNAcentral is "long non-coding RNA (NBEN_LNC012049)". Lineage: Eukaryota; Viridiplantae; Streptophyta; Magnoliopsida; Solanales; Solanaceae. The record is from RNAcentral.